GACGAACGCUGGCGGCGUGCUUAACACAUGCAAGUCGAACGGAAAGGCCCUGCUUUUGUGGGGUGCUCGAGUGGCGAACGUGUGAGUAACACGUGAGUAACCUGCCCUUGACUUUGGUAUAACUUCAGGAAACUGGGGCUAAUACCGGAUAGGAGCUCCUGCUGCAUGGUGGGGGUUGGAAAGUUUCGGCGGUUGGGGAUGGACUCGCGGCUUAUCAGCUUGUUGGUGGGGUAGUGGCUUACCAAGGCUUUGACGGGUAGCCGGCCUGAGAGGGUGACCGGCAACAUGGGGACUGAGAUACGGCCCAGACUCCUACGGGAGGCAGAAGUGGGGAAUAUUGAACAAUGGGCGGAAGCCUGAUGAAGCAACGCCGCGGGCGGGAUGACGGCCUUCGGGUGGUAAACCGCUUUCGCCUGUGACGAAGCGUGAGUGACGGUAAUGGGUAAAGAAGCACCGGCUAACUACGUG
RNAcentral lists this ribosomal RNA (468 nucleotides) under uncultured bacterium. Its description in RNAcentral is "partial 16S ribosomal RNA". It matches the Rfam family "Bacterial small subunit ribosomal RNA", at positions 28 to 507 of the family's 1533-position model. The record is from RNAcentral.